GAUGAACGCUGGCGGCGUGCCUAAUACAUGCAAGUCGAACGCACAGCGAAAGGUGCUUGCACCUUUCAAGUGAGUGGCGAACGGGUGAGUAACACGUGGACAACCUGCCUCAAGGCUGGGGAUAACAUUUGGAAACAGAUGCUAAUACCGAAUAAAACUCAGUGUCGCAUGACACAAAGUUAAAAGGCGCUUUGGCGUCACCUAGAGAUGGAUCCGCGGUGCAUUAGUUAGUUGGUGGGGUAAAGGCCUACCAAGACAAUGAUGCAUAGCCGAGUUGAGAGGAUGAACGGCCACAUUGGGAAUGAGACACGGCCCAAACUCCUACGGGAGGCUGCAGGAGGGAAUUUUCCACAAUGGGCGAAAGCCUGAUGGAGCAACGCCGCGUGUGUGAUGAAGGCUUUCGGGUUGUAAAGCACUGUUGUAUGGGAAGAAAUGCGAGAAUAGGGAAUGAUUCUAGUUCGACGGUACCAUACCAGAAAGGGACGGCUAAAUACGUGCCAGCAGCCGCAGUAA
This 513-nucleotide ribosomal RNA is filed under the name uncultured bacterium. RNAcentral's name for it is "partial 16S ribosomal RNA". It matches the Rfam family "Bacterial small subunit ribosomal RNA", at positions 28 to 523 of the family's 1533-position model. The record is from RNAcentral.